RNAcentral lists this transfer RNA (77 nucleotides) under Candidatus Nitrosoglobus terrae. RNAcentral's name for it is "tRNA-Ile". It matches the Rfam family "tRNA". From Rfam's summary of the family: Transfer RNA (tRNA) molecules are approximately 80 nucleotides in length. Their secondary structure includes four short double-helical elements and three loops (D, anti-codon, and T loops). Further hydrogen bonds mediate the characteristic L-shaped molecular structure. tRNAs have two regions of fundamental functional importance: the anti-codon, which is responsible for specific mRNA codon recognition, and the 3' end, to which the tRNAs corresponding amino acid is attached (by aminoacyl-tRNA synthetases). tRNAs cope with the degeneracy of the genetic code in two manners: having more than one tRNA (with a specific anti-codon) for a particular amino acid; and 'wobble' base-pairing, i.e. permitting non-standard base-pairing at the 3rd anti-codon position. Lineage: Bacteria; Pseudomonadati; Pseudomonadota; Gammaproteobacteria; Chromatiales; Chromatiaceae. The record is from RNAcentral.
GGGUCUGUAGCUCAGCUGGUUAGAGCGCACCCCUGAUAAGGGUGAGGUCGGUGGUUCGAUUCCACCCAGACCCACCA